RNAcentral lists this ribosomal RNA (377 nucleotides) under uncultured bacterium. RNAcentral describes it as "bacterial SSU rRNA". It matches the Rfam family "Bacterial small subunit ribosomal RNA", at positions 523 to 898 of the family's 1533-position model. The record is from RNAcentral.
AAACGUAGGGGGCGAGCGUUGUCCGGAAUUACUGGGCGUAAAGCGCGUGUAGGCGGGUUUAUAAGUCGGGUGUGAAAACCCUGGGCUCAACCCAGGGACUGCAUCCGAAACUGUAGAUCUUGAGGGCGGGAGAGGAAAGUGGAAUUCCUAGUGUAGCGGUGAAAUGCGUAGAUAUUAGGAGGAACACCAGUGGCGAAGGCGGCUUUCUGGCCCGAACCUGACGCUGAGACGCGAAAGCGUGGGGAGCAAACAGGAUUAGAUACCCUGGUAGUCCACGCCGUAAACGAUGGGCACUAGGUGUAGGAGGUAUCGACCCCUUCUGUGCCGCAGCUAACGCAUUAAGUGCCCCGCCUGGGGAGUACGGCCGCAAGGUUGAA